Molecule: ribosomal RNA, 253 nt
Filed under: uncultured prokaryote
Description: partial 16S ribosomal RNA
Rfam family: Bacterial small subunit ribosomal RNA
Source: RNAcentral
UACAGAGGUCUCAAGCGUUGUUCGGAUUCAUUGGGCGUAAAGGGUGCGUAGGUGGCGCCGUUAGUCAGGUGUGAAAUUUCGGAGCUUAACUCCGAAACUGCAUUUGAUACUGCGGUGCUUGAGGACUGGAGAGGAGACUGGAAUUUACGGUGUAGCAGUGAAAUGCGUAGAUAUCGGAAAGAACACCAAGGGCGAAGGCACUCUGCUGGGCCGAAACUGACACUGAGAGACGAGAGCUAGGGGAGCAAAUGGG